RNAcentral lists this ribosomal RNA (483 nucleotides) under uncultured bacterium. Its description in RNAcentral is "partial 16S ribosomal RNA". It matches the Rfam family "Bacterial small subunit ribosomal RNA", at positions 29 to 507 of the family's 1533-position model. The record is from RNAcentral.
UUGAACGCUGGCGGCAUGCUUUACACAUGCAAGUCGAACGGCAGCGCGGGCUUCGGCCUGGCGGCGAGUGGCGAACGGGUGAGUAAUACAUCGGAACGUGCCCAGUAGUGAGGGAUAGCUCGGCGAAAGCCGGAUUAAUACCGCAUACGACCUGAGGGUGAAAGCGGGGGAUCUUCGGACCUCGCGCUAUUGGAGCGGCCGAUGGCAGAUUAGCUAGUUGGUGGGGUAAAGGCCUACCAAGGCGACGAUCUGUAGCUGGUCUGAGAGGACGACCAGCCACACUGGGACUGAGACACGGCCCAGACUCCUACGGGAGGCAGCAGUGGGGAAUUUUGGACAAUGGGCGAAAGCCUGAUCCAGCAAUGCCGCGUGUGUGAUGAAGGCCUUCGGGUUGUAAAGCACUUUUGGCGGGAACGAAAAGGACUGUGCCAAUACCACGGUUCGAUGACGGUACCCGCAGAAUAAGCACCGGCUAACUACGUG